Molecule: ribosomal RNA, 257 nt
Filed under: uncultured prokaryote
Description: partial 16S ribosomal RNA
Rfam family: Bacterial small subunit ribosomal RNA
Source: RNAcentral
UAAUACGGAGGGGGCUAGCGUUGUUCGGAAUUACUGGGCGUAAAGCGCACGUAGGCGGCUUUGUAAGUUAGAGGUGAAAGCCCGGAGCUCAACUCCGGAAUUGCCUUUAAGACUGCAUCGCUCGAAUCAUGGAGAGGUGAGUGGAAUUCCGAGUGUAGAGGUGAAAUUCGUAGAUAUUCGGAAGAACACCAGUGGCGAAGGCGACUCACUGGACAUGUAUUGACGCUGAGGUGCGAAAGCGUGGGGAGCAAACAGGA